UCAGGAUGAACGCUAGCGGCAGGCCUACACAUGCAAGUCGAGGGGCGAGCACGGUGUAGCAAUACACUGGUGGCGACCGGCGCACGGGUGCGUAACGCGUAUGCAACCUACCCAUAACAGGGGGAUAACACUGAGAAAUUGGUACUAAUACCCCAUAACAUCAGGACCGGCAUCGGUUCUGGUUGAAAACUCCGGUGGUUAUGGAUGGGCAUGCGUUGUAUUAGCUGGUUGGUGAGGUAACGGCUCACCAAGGCAACGAUACAUAGGGGGACUGAGAGGUUAACCCCCCACAUUGGUACUGAGACACGGACCAAACUCCUACGGGAGGCAGCAGUGAGGAAUAUUGGUCAAUGGACGCAAGUCUGAACCAGCCAUGCCGCGUGCAGGAAGACGGCUCUAUGAGUUGUAAACUGCUUUUGUACGAGGGUAAACGCUCUUACGUGUAAGAGCCUGAAAGUAUCGUACGAAUAAGGAUCGGCUAACUCCGUG
RNAcentral lists this ribosomal RNA (489 nucleotides) under uncultured bacterium. RNAcentral's name for it is "bacterial SSU rRNA". It matches the Rfam family "Bacterial small subunit ribosomal RNA", at positions 24 to 507 of the family's 1533-position model. The record is from RNAcentral.